AUGUGAAAACCCGAGUGAGAGAGAGAGAGAGAGAGAGAGAGAAUGCGGCGCCAGAACGAGACUGUGAUGGUUUUAUCUUCGUCCAACGAGGAAGGAGGAGGAGGAGGAGGAGGAGGAGGUGAGGAAGCAGCAGUUGCAGAGAGUAUGCAUGAAGAAAGAGAAGGAGAAGAGGAGGAGAGUAGUGGUAAGAAGAAGGGUCUUUCAAUCUGCUUUCCCACCAACAGAAUCAAACGCAUCGUAAGGGGCGAUUGCCCUGACUUCCGCACCACCUCUGACUCCGUCUUCCUCUUCAACAAAGCCACGGAACUGUUUCUUGAACAUUUUGCAGAAGAUGCAUAUGCUUGUGCAGUAAGAAACCCUAAAAAAUCUAUCAGUUAUGAGCACUUAUCAUCAGUUGUUUCAAAUAAGAGAUACGAGUUCCUUUCAGAUUAUGUGCCACAGAAAUUAAGAGCCCAGGAUGCCUUGUCAGCCAAAGCAUUAGCUGAGAAGUGAUGAAUCAUACCAGGACUCUUGCAGGUGCAUACAGCAAUGCAGCAGUCGUGACUGUUUUGGAAGUCUCCUUUCCCAUAACACAUAAUUGCCUGUUGUACUGAUCUGAUGCAUAGUCUGUUGUUUGUCUCUAAGAGCACAUGACAUUUAUACCAAAUCAUUUUGCAGUCUAGGUGAGUCCACCUCAACAGGAAAACAACCUGGAUGGUUAUUGCAAACCGUUUUAAGGCCAUCAGUCAAUUGGUUAGGAUCAUUUGCAUUUUUUUUAAUUUUUUAUUUUUGCAGUUGAAUGGGGUCUGUUACUACUAACAGUUUUUUCCCCCUCAUCCAUUCCUAGGCCAUCUAAUUGACAGGUCAAUUUUGGUAUUGCAUGUGCAACACAUGGAGAGAGUAGGGGGAGAAAAGAAGAGGAAAAGGUGUGGUUAGAUAGUGCAUGCUAUACAUAGAGAGAGAAAGAAGGCUGCCAGAAUGGUUUCAAUGCUGUGCAACACAACCCCACUUUUUUGGUCUUGGGCCCACUCAGGAGUUUUAUACACACCUUGUUUCGAGCUUAUGUCCUAACAUUAUAUAGCACAAAGGAAGUAUGGACUAAGAUGAUAUAAAGUCAUCGCGAUGAUCCCAAUAGAGCCUUUGUUGUGCCAGCUCUCUUUAAUACAAUACGUCUUUGCAGGCUAAACACAAAAAGGAGGAAAGUGGGAGGGGCCUACUCAUGGGAGACUGAUGAUAAAAAUAAUAA
This is an RNA transcript of Magnolia sinica, 1225 nucleotides long. It is a transcript of the gene named DNA polymerase II subunit B3-1, with no coding region annotated. The record is from RefSeq and is a predicted model, not a curated record. NCBI's taxonomy places the organism in Eukaryota, Viridiplantae, Streptophyta, Magnoliopsida, Magnoliales, Magnoliaceae. The transcript has 5 exons.